GAUGAACGCUGGCGGCGUGCCUAAUACAUGCAAGUCGAGCGAACAGAUGAGGAGCUUGCUCCUCUGACGUUAGCGGCGGACGGGUGAGUAACACGUGGAUAACCUACCUAUAAGACUGGGAUAACUUCGGGAAACCGGAGCUAAUACCGGAUAAUAUAUUGAACCGCAUGGUUCAAUAGUGAAAGACGGUUUUGCUGUCACUUAUAGAUGGAUCCGCGCCGCAUUAGCUAGUUGGUAAGGUAACGGCUUACCAAGGCAACGAUGCGUAGCCGACCUGAGAGGGGGAUCGGCCACACGGGAACUGAGACACGGUCCAGACUCCUACGGGAGGCAGCAGUAGGGAAUCUUCCGCAAAGGGCGAAAGCCUGACGGAGCAACGCCGCGUGAGUGAUGAAGGUCUUCGGAUCGUAAAACUCUGUUAUUAGGGAAGAACAAAUGUGUAAGUAACUAUGCACGUCUUGACGGUACCUAAUCAGAAAGCCACGGCUAACUACGUG
This 497-nucleotide ribosomal RNA is filed under the name uncultured bacterium. RNAcentral describes it as "partial 16S ribosomal RNA". It matches the Rfam family "Bacterial small subunit ribosomal RNA", at positions 28 to 507 of the family's 1533-position model. The record is from RNAcentral.